Molecule: ribosomal RNA, 253 nt
Filed under: uncultured bacterium
Lineage: Bacteria
Description: partial 16S ribosomal RNA
Rfam family: Bacterial small subunit ribosomal RNA
Source: RNAcentral
UACGUAGGGGGCAAGCGUUGUCCGGAUUUAUUGGGCGUAAAGAGCGUGUAGGCGGCUAUACAGGUCCGUUGUGAAAACUCGAGGCUCAACCUCGAGACGCCGAUGGAAACCGUAUGGCUAGAGUCCGGAAGAGGAGAGCGGAAUUCCUGGUGUAGCGGUGAAAUGCGCAGAUAUCAGGAAGAACACCCGUGGCGAAGGCGGCUCUCUGGGACGGUACUGACGCUGAGACGCGAAAGCGUGGGGAGCAAACAGG